UACGUAGGGUGCAAGCGUUAAUCGGAAUUACUGGGCGUAAAGAGCUCGUAGGCGGUUUGUCGCGUCUGCCGUGAAAGUCCGGGGCUUAACCCCGGAUCUGCGGUGGGUACGGGCAGACUAGAGUGCAGUAGGGGAGACUGGAAUUCCUGGUGUAGCGGUGAAAUGCGCAGAUAUCAGGAGGAACACCGAUGGCGAAGGCAGGUCUCUGGGCUGUAACUGACGCUGAGGAGCGAAAGCAUGGGGAGCGAACAGG
Molecule: ribosomal RNA, 253 nt
Filed under: uncultured bacterium
Lineage: Bacteria
Description: partial 16S ribosomal RNA
Rfam family: Bacterial small subunit ribosomal RNA
Source: RNAcentral